RNAcentral lists this ribosomal RNA (700 nucleotides) under bacterium. RNAcentral describes it as "bacterial SSU rRNA". It matches the Rfam family "Bacterial small subunit ribosomal RNA", at positions 68 to 812 of the family's 1533-position model. The record is from RNAcentral.
GGGCGUAGCAAUACGUCAGCGGCAGACGGGUGAGUAACGCGUGGGAACGUACCUUUUGGUUCGGAACAACCCAGGGAAACUUGGGCUAAUACCGGAUAAGCCCUUACGGGGAAAGAUUUAUCGCCGAAAGAUCGGCCCGCGUCUGAUUAGCUAGUUGGUGAGGUAAUGGCUCACCAAGGCGACGAUCAGUAGCUGGUCUGAGAGGAUGAUCAGCCACAUUGGGACUGAGACACGGCCCAAACUCCUACGGGAGGCAGCAGUGGGGAAUAUUGGACAAUGGGCGCAAGCCUGAUCCAGCCAUGCCGCGUGAGUGAUGAAGGCCCUAGGGUUGUAAAGCUCUUUUGUGCGGGAAGAUAAUGACGGUACCGCAAGAAUAAGCCCCGGCUAACUUCGUGCCAGCAGCCGCGGUAAUACGAAGGGGGCUAGCGUUGCUCGGAAUCACUGGGCGUAAAGGGUGCGUAGGCGGGUCUUUAAGUCAGGGGUGAAAUCCUGGAGCUCAACUCCAGAACUGCCUUUGAUACUGAAGAUCUUGAGUUCGGGAGAGGUGAGUGGAACUGCGAGUGUAGAGGUGAAAUUCGUAGAUAUUCGCAAGAACACCAGUGGCGAAGGCGGCUCACUGGCCCGAUACUGACGCUGAGGCACGAAAGCGUGGGGAGCAAACAGGAUUAGAUACCCUGGUAGUCCACGCCGUAAACGAUGA